This 496-nucleotide ribosomal RNA is filed under the name uncultured bacterium. Its description in RNAcentral is "partial 16S ribosomal RNA". It matches the Rfam family "Bacterial small subunit ribosomal RNA", at positions 28 to 506 of the family's 1533-position model. The record is from RNAcentral.
GAUGAACGCUGGCGGCGUGCCUAAUACAUGCAAGUCGAGCGAACAGACGAGGAGCUUGCUCCUCUGACGUUAGCGGCGGACGGGUGAGUAACACGUGGAUAACCUACCUAUAAGACUGGGAUAACUUCGGGAAACCGGAGCUAAUACCGGAUAAUAUAUUGAACCGCAUGGUUCAAUAGUGAAAGACGGUUUUGCUGUCACUUAUAGAUGGAUCCGCGCCGCAUUAGCUAGUUGGUAAGGUAACGGCUUACCAAGGCAACGAUGCGUAGCCGACCUGAGAGGGGGAUGGCCCAACCGGGAACCGAAAACGGGUCAGAACCCCAAGGGAGGGAAAGCGAGGGAAAUUUUCCGCAAGGGGCGAAAGCCUAACGGAGAAACGCGGGGGGAGGAAAAAAGUUUUUGGAACUGUAAAACUCUGUUAUUAGGAAAAAAAAAAUGUGAAAGUAACUAUGCACCUCUGGACGGUACCAAAUAAGAAAGCCCCGCCUAACCACGU